This is a small nucleolar RNA of Melanotaenia boesemani (Boeseman's rainbowfish), 84 nucleotides long. RefSeq annotates it as small nucleolar RNA SNORD11B. Lineage: Eukaryota; Metazoa; Chordata; Actinopteri; Atheriniformes; Melanotaeniidae. The transcript has a single exon. The record is from RefSeq and is a predicted model, not a curated record.
UGACGGUGAUGAUGAUGACGACAUGUGUCCUCAUCCUGAAGGCGUAUGUGUGGGUUUUCAGUCACUACCUCUUCUGAACUGUCA